RNAcentral lists this ribosomal RNA (880 nucleotides) under uncultured bacterium. RNAcentral describes it as "bacterial SSU rRNA". It matches the Rfam family "Bacterial small subunit ribosomal RNA", at positions 9 to 916 of the family's 1533-position model. The record is from RNAcentral.
GAGUUUGAUCAUGGCUCAGGACGAACGCNGGCGGCGUGCUUAACACAUGCAAGUCGAACGAGGUAGCAAUACCUAGUGGCGGACGGGUGAGUAACACGUAGGUAACCUGCCUUGUAGUGGGGGAUACCCAGCCGAAAGGUUGGCUAAUACCGCAUACCUUGGGGAGUUGGAAUACUUUUCAAGAAAGAUUUAUCGCUAUAAGAGGGGCCUGCGUAUGAUUAGCUAGUUGGUGAGGUAACGGCUCACCAAGGCGACGAUCAUUAGCUGGUCUGAGAGGACGAUCAGCCACACUGGAACUGAGACACGGCCCAGACUCCUACGGGAGGCAGCAGUGGGGAAUUUUCCGCAAUGGGCGAAAGCCUGACGGAGCAACGCCGCGUGGGUGAUGAAGUCUUUCGGGACGUAAAACCCUUUCAGCAGGGACGAAGCGAGUGACGGUACCUGCAGAAGAAGCAUCGGCUAACUACGUGCCAGCAGCCGCGGUAAUACGUAGGAUGCGAGCGUUGUCCGGAUUUAUUGGGCGUAAAGCGAACGUAGGCGGCCACUUAAGUUUGGUCUUAAAGACCGGGGCUCAACCCCGGGAAUGGACUGAAUACUGGGUGGCUAGAGGAUGUUAGAGGAAAGUGGAAUUCCAAGUGUAGCGGUGAAAUGCGUAGAUAUUUGGAGGAACACCAGUGGCGAAAGCGGCUUUCUGGGACAUUCCUGACGCUGAGGUUCGAAAGCUCGGGGAGCAAACAGGAUUAGAUACCCUGGUAGUCCGAGCCGUAAACGAUGGACACUAGGUGUCGCGGGUAUCGACCCCCGCGGUGCCGUAGCUAACGCGUUAAGUGUCCCGCCUGGGGAGUACGGUCGCAAGACUGAAACUCAAAUGAAUUGACGG